CUCUGAGAAUCUCAGUUCUGUCCGCAAUCACAAUGAACAACUGAGUAGAGGUCCUAAAUAACUUAGUAUGUUUCAGUUGGAAAGCUAGAGCCCUUCUCACAUUCAACAAAUGAAGUCUCUCCUUAUCUCUGUGGGCAUGAGGUUUCAGAAAGUCAGCUAAUAGAUUACUUGAUUAACAUGAAAAUUAGAGAGACCACCGUAGUGAGAAAUUUUGGGUGAGGAUGAAGAUAAACCUAUUAAAAAUUGUAUAUAGAGGCUCUGACACUAGGGCUUUCAACUCUUCCACUCUUCUGGCCAAGGUGGUGGCCACUAGAAAUGCUACAUUCACAUAUAGAGGUAAGCAGAGCACAAGUUGCAAGGGAUUUAAAGGGCAAUCCUGUCAAUUUUGUUAGGACCAAAUUCAGAUCCCAAGAUUUUGCAUGUGUGGAUUUAAUCUGACCAUGCCCUUUAGGAAUCUGGCUAUGAUGGGGUUGGGAAAAAGGGAUCUACUAUCCACCAAGUUGUGGAAGGCCAAAGUAGCUGCCAGAUGCAACCUUAUAGAGCUAAUAGACAAAUUCUGUUUUAGAUAUAGAAGGUAAGUCCAGGCCUGCUCUGGAGAUACAGCUUUCUGGCAGGACCAAAUGGAGAAGCAUUUCUACUCAGCCAAGUAAGUGCUCCUAGUUGAGGGUUUUCUGCUAUUCAGAAGCACUUUGUGAAUGUCCUUCGAACAGGAUCUUUCAAAGGGUGUUAUCCAUUAAGCAUCCAGGCUGUCAGAUGGAGGGAUCAGAGACUGGAAUAGAGCAAAUGACCAUGGUCCUGGGAAAUCACAUCUGAGUCCAACGGGACAGAUAAUGGAGGCUCAAUUAGCAAGGUUAGUAGAGUUGAGUACCAAUGUUGACAAGGCCAUGCCAGUGCUAUAAGGAUGCGAUGAGCAUGGUCUUGUUUCACUUUGGACAAGACCCUGGGUAGCAAAGGAAUUGAAGGAAAAGUGUACAAUAGGGGAUUGUUCCAGGAUAGGAGAAAAGCAUCUGUCAGUGAGCUGCCAGCUGAGACAUCCCCUGGAACACCAUUGAUGGCAUUUUCUGAUAGUCUUUGUUGCAAAUAAAUCCACUUGGGGAGUUCCCCCAGAGCUGGAAGAUGGAUCUAACCACAUCUGGACAUAAUGACCACUCAAGAAAGAUAUGCUCAGCUAAUCAGCUAACAUGUUCUGUAUCCCUGGAAGGUAAGCAGCCUUGAGAUGAAUCAAGUUGUUUAUGCAAAAGUCCCAUAGGUGAACUGCCUCUUGGCAAAGUUGAAUUGAUUGCACUGCUCUCUGCAGUUAUGUUUUACAUAAGCAGACAAAGUUGUGUAUUAAAAUUAAAUUCUGUCCCACUAUCUGGGGGAGGAAGGUCAAGCAAGCUAGAUGUACUAUCUUAGAUCUCUGACAUUUAUAUAAGUCUUUUGAUCUUGAGAUGACCAAAGACCCUGAGUCUGCAGGGACCCUAUAUGAGCUCCUCAACGCAGGGAUGAUGCAUCUGGGACUAGAGUGAGGUUGGCAGCGGGGAGACAUAGGGGACCUACACACACUUUCAGAGGGUCCAUCCACCAAUCCAACACUGACAACACUGACACUGGCCCUGGAACCACUUUGUCCAAAUGACGAUGAUUCAGGGCACAUCCUAAAGCUAGCUAUGCCUGCAGCUUUCCGAGAUGCAGCCUGGCAUGCCAAACUGCACAGGGCCAUGCUGCCAUGUGACCCAAGAGACUGAGGCAGCUGCGUGCUGUGGGGAGUGGGUAUGUUUCAGCCUCAACAGUAAUGUUUUGAACCUGAAUUGUGGCAGAAAGGCCUUGGCCUUUGUGCAGUCUAAGACCACCCCAAUGAACUCUAUUCUCUGUACUGGUUUUAGGAUUGAUUUGUCCUGAUUCAGCAGAAGUCUCAGUGCAUCAUACGUGGACAGGACAGUGGAUACACUGGCUAACACAAGCCUCAGACUGACCUCUAAUCAACCAGUCAUCCAGGAGACUGCUUUGUCUACACCCCAAUGGGGUCGGGGUGAAAGGAGGGUGUUACUCAAGGAAAGUAUAAAAUAAAAGACAAUGGCUUCUUCAUUACUUCUCUCCUCCUCCAUCUCGACUGAAACAAGACUGUUCGAAAGACUUUGAAAUGAGGAGAUUUGUCCCAGGUUGGGAAGAAAUCCAGCCUGUGUACUAAGAACUGUGAACUGCCUGCAAAAUCCAGUGGGGAAUGGAUGCAUUCACCUGCCAAGAAGAAAAGAAAAAAAAAAAAGGGAACAAACAUUCCAACUACGAAGGAAAUAACUGGGGCAGCUAUCUUAGACUUGAUUCUGACUAACAGGGAGGAAUCAGUUGUGAAUCUGAAAGUGGAAGGCAAUUUGCUGAAAGUGACCCUCCUGAACAUCCAUCCAGUCUCAAGAAGCAGCUAUGGGUUCUGGCUGCUGGUGCUAAGCAGGCAGCAGUGUUACAAUAUCAAUACUCCCUCAUGAAUCCAGGAAAGCACUGAGAGCACACCCACCUUUGAGUUCCUAACUCCAAGCAAAUUGCUUCAUUUGACCUGGGACUCUUCAUGUCAGUGGAUUGGCAAGUUUCAGCAAAGUAGUAUGAUUUUGUUUUGUCUGAGGCACUCUCUCCCAGUACCUUUUCCAACCAAUCCCCCCAUUUUUUUAAAUUCUUCCUUCCCCAUUGAUAAUUUUACUUAAUUUCCCCCCAUCUAAUUUCCUAGAUUCUGGGUUUAUAGUAAAUCUGAAAAUAUUCAUCCAUUUGCCUUAAAUGUACACUUAUAAGAGACACCACAUCUAAACAAUGGAAUUAAGAUUUCAGUUUAAUGAUUAAUCAAUUCCUCACAUGUGAAGAAAUCUGAUCUCCUAAAAUCCUAUCCAAGAAUAAUUUUUAUAUUGCUGGUUAUGAUUCAUCAAAUUACUCAGAAUGUGUUAGUAUGAAUCUGUGAGUUGUUUUUUCAAUAGUAUUAGUCCAGGGUUUUAUUUUUGUUAAAUGAGUUUUAAUAAGUGUUGUGUUGAUUUAUAUUACUGAUAUGGCUAUUGGGCAAUAUCAUUCAGACUAUAAUCCAGCAUGGACAAAGCUCUCAGUGACAAAGUUUAGGAAGAACUGUUCUUCUAAUAAACCCUUAUCUGCAAG
Mauremys mutica (yellowpond turtle) is the source of this 3111-nucleotide long non-coding RNA. RefSeq lists it as uncharacterized. NCBI's taxonomy places the organism in Eukaryota, Metazoa, Chordata, Testudines, Geoemydidae. The record is from RefSeq and is a predicted model, not a curated record. The transcript has 4 exons.